GCCAUAGGUGAGUUGCUUGUGUCUGAGAGAGACAGAAAAACGGACGCCCGGGUUUCGAAAUUACGAACAUUAUAUACUAUAUAGUCUAUGCCUGUAGCAUCACUGCGUAGUGCGCCAAGUUCGACAAUCGACAGCACAAGUUCGACAGCAGCCAAACGAGGUGAGCCGUGCGAUCAACGAGAACGAAAGUAAAAUCUAAGACAAGAAAGACAAGAAAGUAAGAAACUAUUUCUAAACGAAGACGACUGUGAGCCGGAUAUUUUCGAGUGCGUCGAGUCUAAUUCAGUGCUUCCUAAUACACGACUUCACCAUUACGUGGAAGGCGGCUUACACGCAAGCAGGACACGGCCGACACGGGAGUACGAGACGGAGACGACGAUCGCAACAAAGACGGCUCCCAGGCUGCGAAGUGCGAACUGCGUAAACAGAAUUCCAAGAAAUUUUAACCUUCAAAACGCAACUCAGAGCAAGCUGACCGAGGCUUCAAGAAAACUAUGGAUAUAAUAAUAAGUGUCAAAAUUCAAGAGUGACGUUUGGAAGUAUUUUUGAAGGAUAGACCAGUCGGAGUCGGAAUGCUUAGUCUGCAAUACCAUCAUUAAAUCAACUGGCAAUACAACAAAUUUACGUGCUCACUUACGACGGCAUCAUCCAAAAGUCAAUGUCAAAGUUCUGACAGGAGCAAUUAAAAGAAAAGCUUCUGAUGAGACAGAGGUAGAUGAGGAAUCGCCCUGUAAAAAACUGAACCUCAAGGAAAGUGACGAAGAAACAAAAAAUUCGAUCUCGAGGACGCCUACAACUCCUACGACCCCUACAGUUGCAACGCCGAAGCGGAAAAAAUCUCAAUUGACGGUAGAUAGUAUUUUUGAACAUCAGCGAUCAUACGCAGAUGAUGGUGCAAAGGCUGCUGAAACUACGAAACGACUUAUUUUUAUGCUGGCUAAAGAUAAGAUGCCGUUAUCCACAGUGGAAAAAGAAGGUUUCAAAACUUUCGUUAGCUAUACGGUGCCUUUUUACAAAAUUCCAAAUAGGAAUCAAAUAACCGAGACAAUGGAAGACAAGUAUAAAGCACUUUCAAAUAAUGUGAAAGAUAUGUUUUCUAAACUAAAUGAUAUAGUUUUAACAACAGAUAUCUGGACUGAUACUGUAAAUAACAGAAGCUAUUUGGGUUUAACAAGCCAUUUCAUAGAUAAUGGUGCGUUAAGAUCGAUUAUGAUUGGAGUAAUGGAAUUGGACGAUCGCCAUUCAGCAAAUAAUAUACACAAAUGGUUAGAUGAACUUCUUGCUCUAUGGAAAGGUUGUAAGGAAUCUGAACUCUACUACUCUUUGUCGCAAAAAUCUGAACUGUACUACUCUCCACCGCAAAAAUCUGAACUGUACUACUCUUCGCCGCAAAAAUCUGAACUGUACUACUCUUCGCCGGAAAAUCUGAACCGUACUACUCUUCGUAGGAAAUCUGAACCAUACUACUCUUCGUAGGGACCGACGAGACGGUCUCGUAAUUCCUCUAAAGUAUGGUAUAUAUUCAUGUUCAAGAUAAUUAUUUAUAAAUUCUUUACUAAUUGUUUUUUCACUAGUUACAUUUUUCACUACGUUUUUUUUUAAUAUGUCAAUAUUAAAAUCCCCAAAUAUACAAUGGUUUUUAAUAUUUCUAUGCUUGGACAAAAUCUUUCUUACAUUAUUUACAAAUUCCAACUUUGGUAUAUCAUGGCAGCUGUACAUUGCAGAAAUCAAGUUAAAUUCUUUUACUUUAUUAUUGUCUGAUUGAGCGUUUUAAUAUCUUCUACUUCACAUUCAAACUUGCUUAUAUCUUCGAAAAUUGUGAUCUUGAUUCAUUUUUGUUUUUUCCCUGGUUCUUAAUCUUUCCGAUAUUUGUGUAUUGAUUGAUGGUAGUGAAUUCGUAGAUAUUCCCGACACUUUCUUUAUCAUACAUUUAGCUGAUGUUUUUUCUACUGUACCAACGUAUCUUGGUAAUGUAGGCUGUAUAGUAUAAUCGGUGAGGUCAACAAACUUUUUCAACUUAGCUUGCGGAAUUUGGCACUCGUGGCUAUCUGUUGCUACAUGUUCUAUAUUAUACUUUGUCUUAUACCUGCUAUUGCUAAAUCGCAAUUUGCACAUAUAAUUUUAUUGACUUGACAUUCUUUUGUUUUAUGUUCCCCAGCACAUUUUAAACAGAUACCAUUAUUAUUACAUUUGUUACCAUUGUGGCCAAACCUGCCACAAUUGAAACAUGAUUUUACAUUACAAUAAUCAUAGAUUUUACAGUUUUGAUAUCCAACAAAGAGUCUGUUCUUAUUUUCUCCAAAAUGCUGGUAAAUUUCGCCAGGCAUUUCUAAAGUCACUGUCUGCAGUUUAGUUCUACUGUUUUUGUAGAAGUUCAAGAUAAUACAUUUUCUUUUAAAAUUGCUAAAAUUUAUCUCAUUUAUGUCAUUCUAUAUACUUUUGUCGUCCA
This is a long non-coding RNA of Nasonia vitripennis (jewel wasp), 2449 nucleotides long. RefSeq lists it as uncharacterized. The record is from RefSeq and is a predicted model, not a curated record. NCBI's taxonomy places the organism in Eukaryota, Metazoa, Arthropoda, Insecta, Hymenoptera, Pteromalidae. The transcript has 3 exons.